This 339-nucleotide ribosomal RNA is filed under the name uncultured soil bacterium. Its description in RNAcentral is "bacterial SSU rRNA". It matches the Rfam family "Bacterial small subunit ribosomal RNA", at positions 26 to 364 of the family's 1533-position model. The record is from RNAcentral.
AGAUUGAACGCUGGCGGCAGGCCUAACACAUGCAAGUCGAGCGGCAGCACGGGUACUUGUACCUGGUGGCGAGCGGCGGACGGGUGAGUAAUGCCUAGGAAUCUGCCUGAUAGUGGGGGAUAACGUUCGGAAACGGACGCUAAUACCGCAUACGUCCUACGGGAGAAGGUGGGGGAUCUUCGGACCUCACGCUAUCAGAUGAGCCUAGGUCGGAUUAGCUAGUUGGUAGGGUAAAGGCCUACCAAGGCUACGAUCCGUAACUGGUCUGAGAGGAUGAUCAGUCACACUGGAACUGAGACACGGUCCAGACUCCUACGGGAGCAGCGAGUAGGGGAAUAG